RNAcentral lists this small nuclear RNA (101 nucleotides) under Olea europaea subsp. europaea. Its description in RNAcentral is "U5 spliceosomal RNA". It matches the Rfam family "U5 spliceosomal RNA". From Rfam's summary of the family: U5 RNA is a component of both types of known spliceosome. The record is from Rfam by way of RNAcentral. Lineage: Eukaryota; Viridiplantae; Streptophyta; Magnoliopsida; Lamiales; Oleaceae.
UGCCCCAAAGCGAACUAUUCUUUCGCCUUUUACUAAAGAAUACCGAGUGCUUAAGGAGCAUACUUCACUUUUUGAAGGGGUUUUUCUUCUCCACGGAAUGU